CUUUCUUUGCUGGCGACCGGCGCACGGGUGAGUAACACGUAUCCAACCUGCCCUUUACUCGGGAUAGCCUUUCGAAAGAAAGAUUAAUACCCGAUAGUAUAAUGAUUCCGCAUGGUUACAUUAUUAAAGGAUUCCGGUAAAGGAUGGGGAUGCGUUCCAUUAGGUUGUUGGUGAGGUAACGGCUCUCCAAGCCUUCGAUGGAUAGGGGUUCUGAGAGGAAGGUCCCCACAUUGGAACUGAGACACGGUCCAA
This 252-nucleotide ribosomal RNA is filed under the name uncultured bacterium. Its description in RNAcentral is "partial 16S ribosomal RNA". It matches the Rfam family "Bacterial small subunit ribosomal RNA", at positions 79 to 334 of the family's 1533-position model. The record is from RNAcentral.